CAGUAGCCGCGGUAAUACGUAGGGGGCAAGCGUUACCCGGAAUUAUUGGGCGUAAAGAGUGCGUAGGUGGUCUACUAAGCGCGAGGUGAAAGGCAAUGGCUCAACCAUUGUUAGCCUUGCGAACUGGCAGACUUGAGUGCAAGAGAGGAAAGCGGAAUUCCUAGUGUAGCGGUGAAAUGCGCAGAUAUUAGGAGGAACACCGGCGGCGAAGGCGGCUUUCUGGAUUGUAACUGACACUGAGGCACGAAAGCGUGGGUAGCAAACAGGAUUAGAUACCCCAGUAGUCCCUGUCUCUUAUACC
Molecule: ribosomal RNA, 301 nt
Filed under: uncultured bacterium
Lineage: Bacteria
Description: partial 16S ribosomal RNA
Rfam family: Bacterial small subunit ribosomal RNA
Source: RNAcentral